This 230-nucleotide long non-coding RNA is filed under the name Papio anubis (olive baboon). Its description in RNAcentral is "lncRNA (ENSPANG00000037230.1)". Lineage: Eukaryota; Metazoa; Chordata; Mammalia; Primates; Cercopithecidae. The record is from RNAcentral.
AUGCUGAAAAAAACAGCAGAAACCAGAGGAAACAUGACAUGGUUCACAUUUUCCGACGCUUCCAGGCAGCAGGCUUAUAGGUUUGUGGUGAAAACGAAGAGACUCAGUCUUUGAGGGCCAUCAUCAUUCCUGUACAAAUGAAAAAAAUUCUGUAUUGCUUAAGGUAAGAAAGAAAAAUCUACUAGCUCUUAUACUCCACAAUGCUAAAGUGUCAUAUUGUACAGAAAACU